GACAGAGGGUGCAAACGUUGUUCGGAAUUACUGGGCGUAAAGCGAGUGUAGGCGGUUCGAUAAGUCGGAUGUGAAAGCCCGGGGCUCAACUCCGGAAUUGCCUUUAAAACUGCAUCGCUAGAGUUGUGGAGAGGUAAGUGGAAUUCCGAGUGUAGAGGUGAAAUUCGUAGAUAUUCGGAAGAACACCAGUGGCGAAGGCGACUUACUGGACACAUAUUGACGCUGAGGUGCGAAAGCGUGGGGAGCAAACAGG
This 253-nucleotide ribosomal RNA is filed under the name uncultured bacterium. RNAcentral's name for it is "partial 16S ribosomal RNA". It matches the Rfam family "Bacterial small subunit ribosomal RNA", at positions 524 to 776 of the family's 1533-position model. The record is from RNAcentral.